UGAAAGUUAGUUUUGCCUGUUACUCCCAAUUGCUUCAAGAUUAAUUCAAUCGGAUAGAACGUGAUAAGAGUUUAAUUGAUUUGUUCUGAAAGGGCGUGGGCCUUGCUUGUUUUGUCUCGAACAUAGUUUACUAUCAGGCCUUCGUUCCCCCUCGCUGAUUGUGAUAAUCUUUUUCUGAUGUGGGCCUAGAAGACCUAACCAGGGAGAAGAAAGAGAGAGAGAGCGACGGACCUCUGCGGGGAAAGGAGGCCACUGAAAUACUAGUGAGGAAGUUUGCAGAAAACCUCUCAGAAGAAAAGCAGCAAACGCCAAAGACGAAGAGAAGGCUUUAUGGAUAGAGAAACAGAGGCUGGUCAUCUCCAGAAUGAAUAGAAGGCUUGUACUUACAGUCCUGGCCCUGAAUGUUGUAACCAAUGAAAUCAAGGUAUCCACCUCCCAACCUCUCACACCAUCCAACUCCACUCCUGCUACCUUCAUUCCCCCUGCUCCCACCACUUCCUGUGUGUGUAAAGUCUCCACUUCCUGUUCCUCUCCGACCCAGCCCGAGUCUCCGCCACCUGCGCUGGGUGUUAUCAAGGUCAAAUGGGAAGAAAAGUCCUGUAAGGGGGAUGUACACCUGUCUCUCCUCUCGUCCCAUUCCUUACCAGUCUGCUUUAACAGUCUUACCCAUCGUAGUCUUCAUCGUGCAGGGCUGUGUAAGAGGAAGGGCUGCGAGGGCUCCCCAACGUGGACUAAGAUCAAUCCUAAAGCUUUGGGUUACCAGAUCAGUACGAAUGGAAGUGUUGCCAACAACCCCUGUACAACACUGGGGAUCCAAUGCGACGUCGUCUCAGAUCAGUUAGUGGGCUAUAAGGUGGUGACUGGUCUACUGUGUGUUCUGGUGCUGGUGGUGCUGAUGGUGCGUUUCGGGCAGCCCUCCCUCAAGGCCCUCCGUAGGAGACUGUCAGACAAGAGGCAGAGUCGGUGGAUCGGACCUACGCAGAGCCAAAGUGUCUCCUACCAUAGAGGGAAGGCUGGACUCCAACUUAACGACAACACAGACAAGAGACACUCCUACCCUGGAUUGGAGAGGCUGACGGUGAACACCAGCCGAGAGCCUUCGUCUAACAGAAACAGUGAUUAUGACUCUUAUAACUUGUGAUCAUCAUCAUCAUCAGUCAUAUCCUUCACCCACAAUGACAAUACACUGUACAUGUAUUUUUCAUAUUUUAUUAUAUUUUUAUAUUUUUUUAUGCUAAUUGUAAAAAAAAAAAAAAUUAAGCACAUAAAUAUCUUUUUUUUU
Molecule: long non-coding RNA, 1282 nt
Organism: Oncorhynchus tshawytscha (Chinook salmon)
Lineage: Eukaryota; Metazoa; Chordata; Actinopteri; Salmoniformes; Salmonidae
Source: Ensembl